GCCCAGUCAUAAACUUUGAUGAUAAACUACAAAUAUCAUCCGCCAGGGAACUACAAGCGUAUCGCUCGAAACCCAACGGACUUGGCGGUGCCCCACACCCACCUAGAGGAGCCUGUUCUAUAACUGACAAUCCCCGUUCAACCUCACCACCCCUAGCCCCUUCAGUCUAUAUACCACCGUCGUAAGCUCACCCUAUGAAGGAUAAACAGUAAGCAAGAUGGGUACAACCCAAAACGUCAGGUCGAGGUGUAGCACAUGGGGUGGGAAGAAAUGGGCUACAUUUUCUGCCUACAGAACACCACGAACAACGCCAUGAAAUCUGCCGUUCAAAGGAGGAUUUAGCAGUAAAAAGAAAACAGAGAGUUCUUUUGAAGCCGGCCCUGGGGCGCGC
This 391-nucleotide ribosomal RNA is filed under the name Campylomormyrus numenius. Its description in RNAcentral is "partial 12S ribosomal RNA". It matches the Rfam family "Bacterial small subunit ribosomal RNA", at positions 794 to 1384 of the family's 1533-position model. The record is from RNAcentral. Lineage: Eukaryota; Metazoa; Chordata; Actinopteri; Osteoglossiformes; Mormyridae.